Molecule: non-coding RNA, 310 nt
Organism: Otolemur garnettii (small-eared galago)
Lineage: Eukaryota; Metazoa; Chordata; Mammalia; Primates; Galagidae
Source: Rfam
GCCGGGCGUUGUGGCGGGCGCCUGUGGUCCCAGCUACUUGGGAGGCGGAGGCAGGAGACUCGCUUGAGCCCAGGAGUUGGAGGUUGCUGUGAGCUGUAAUGCCACGGCACUCUGCCCAGGGGGACAGCUUGAGGCUCUGUCUCAAAAAAAAAAAAGAUGAUUUAAAGUAUACAGAAGAAUAGAACACUAUAUCUUUUUUUUUUUUUUUUUUUGAGACAGAGCCUCAAGCUAUCCCCCUGGGUAGAGUGCUAUGGCCUCACAGCUCACAGCAACCUCCAACUCCUGGGCUCAAGUGAGGCUCCUGCCUCAG